Molecule: long non-coding RNA, 995 nt
Organism: Pongo pygmaeus (Bornean orangutan)
Lineage: Eukaryota; Metazoa; Chordata; Mammalia; Primates; Hominidae
Exons: 4
Source: RefSeq, a predicted model, not a curated record
GGAGUCAUGUGGGGCCAAGCACUCAGCUCUGGGGCACUGGAGCCCAUCUCUGAGGGUAUGAAAUCCACCAGAUCCAUCUGAAGGAAGGAGAGAUGAAAAGAGGAAGGAGCGAUGAUGCUGCUGUGCAGGGACCACACUUUGAGAACCACUGAUGUGGUAGGACAAAAGGUGUAGUACAUGCUUAAUUGUUCAGCAGGAGAACAGACAGAAAGGAACAGAAGAAAUAUUUGAAGUAAUAAUGGCCAACAUUUUUCUAAAACUAGUGACAGAUAUCAAACCACAGAUCCAAGAAGCUCAGAGAACACCAAGCGAGAUAAAUACCAAAAAAUUCACACCUAAGCAUAUCAUAUUCAAACUGCGGAAAACCAAAAACGAAGAAAAAAAUCUUGAAAGAUGUCAGAGAGAGGAAAAUACCUUACUUACAGAGAAACAAGGAUAAGAAUUACAGUGGACUUGUCAGAAACUAUGCAAGCAAAGAGAGAGGGGUGAAAUAUCUAAGAAAACUCACCAACCUGAAGUAUAUAUCCAGUGAAAUUGCUCUUCAGAAGUGAAGGACAGAUCAAGACCUCCUCAGACCAAAAAAAAAGCAAAAAACAAAAAAACGAGAGAAUUCAUUGCCAGUGAACAGUGAACUUGCUCCUCUAGAAAUGUUAGAGGAAGUUCUUCAGAAACUCAGGUCUAUGUGAGAAAGAAUAAGCACCAGAAUAGGGAUAAGUGAAGGCCUUUGUAGGACAUAUAAAUGCCAAUGCUGAUGUAGAAAGGUGGAGGAAGAGAGCCAGAGUGCAGUUCAUCUCUGGGAGAGCAGACCAGAGUGGCUUCCAUGGGCACAUGCUGGAUUGAAGUGAGAAGACGUGACUACUAAAGUUGAGGCCCCAAGUCUCAGCUCCUUCCCCCUCCGAAGCAUGAGUGGAGGAUUCACUUAAGGCCACUUUGGUGAGACUAGAUCAACUCUUCUCAAAACUACUUCAUUCCUUUGGAAUAAAAUCUUGAUUUUA